GACGAACGCUGGCGGCGUGCUUAACACAUGCAAGUCGAACGGAAAGGCGCGGCUCGGGUGGGGUGCGCGAGGGGCAAACGGGUGAGUAACACGGGAGUAACCCGCGCUUGACGGGGGGAUAACUCCAGGAAACGGGGGCUAAUACCGGAUAGGAGCUCCUGCUGCAUGGGGGGGGUGGGAAAGUUUCGGCGGGUGGGGAUGGACGCGGGGCUUAUCAGCUUGGUGGUGGGGGAGUGGCUUACCAAGGCUUUGACGGGGGGCCGGCCUGAGGGGGUGACCGCCCCCCAUGGUCCUGCGGUACGGCCCAGAGGCCUACGUUGGGCAGUGGUGGGGAAUAUUGUCCAAUGGGCGGACGCGUGAUGCAGCGGCGCCGCGUUCGGGAUGACGGCCUUCGGGUUGUGAACCGCUUUCGCCUGUGACGACGCUUGGGUGACGGUACUGGGUAAAGAAGCACCGGCUAACUACGUG
This 468-nucleotide ribosomal RNA is filed under the name uncultured bacterium. RNAcentral's name for it is "partial 16S ribosomal RNA". It matches the Rfam family "Bacterial small subunit ribosomal RNA", at positions 28 to 507 of the family's 1533-position model. The record is from RNAcentral.